AUAAAACUAAUUUUAUUAUCAAAAUCAAUUUACCCUUUAAGUAGUAUAAAAACAUUUAUACUUAUAAUAACAAUAUCAAAAUACUUAUACAUAUCCAGUAUGCUAGGAAUGAAGUUACUUACCUCGAGAAAUGAACUUGAAUUAACACACCUCUAAGCUUCUAAGAGCCUCAAUCACCUUCAACUCCCGUCGCUUGAUUCUCUCCUAAACAAAGGUUUGAAUCCUAGGAUUUGGGUAAGAGCGUAAAGAGCAGCAGGGAAGAAGAAUAAACGUUGUGAAUUUAGGGUUAUGGGAGAGAAAAAGUAUGAAUUUAUAGGAAGUCUUAAGAAACCCUAUUUAAUUAGGGAAAUAACCAUCUUCCCAAAAUUAUCUCAUAAAUAACCUCUUAAUAAGGGUUAUGGGCCACCUAUAAUUCUCAAUGAAAGCCCAAUUUCCAUAACUUAAUAUAUAUGAGAAUUUGUGGCGUUACAAUUUCUCCCCUCCUAACAAAAAUUUCGUCCUCGAAAUUAAAAGGUUAGCUCAUUGUAACCCUUAAUUACAAUUAAGUAUCUUGCCAGGUCUUGGUUGGGUCAUGACAUUAUGGUAUCAGAGCGGCUCCGCGUGUCCUCUUGAGCGAUGGUGGGGCAAACCUCAGCGAGGACGCUGAGUCCCCAAGGGGGGGUGUAUGUAACACCCUAGGCGAAUCCCACAUCGGCAAAGCACGGGAGAGAUGCUGGGUCAAAAGCAUUUAUAAAAUACUUUGUUAAAGAGAAUUUAGCUUUAAAACAUUUACAUAAAACUAAUUUUGUUAUCAAAAUCAAUUAAUCCUUUAAGCAGUAUAAAAACAUUUAUACUUAUAAUAAUAAUAUCAAAAUACUUAUACAUAUCCAGUAUGCUAGGAAUGAAGUUACUUACCUCGACAAAUGAACUUGAAUUAACCCACCUCUAAGCUUCUAAGAGCCUCAAUCACCUUCAACUCCUUAAACAAAUACAAGAUAUGACAAUUAAUGACUUAUUCUAAGAAUCUGAUUUUCUAAUUCAUACCUGUACAGGUCUGAUUCUCAGAAUUUUAACUCUUAAUCUAAAACUCAGAAUGAUAUAAUAUUCUAUGGAACUAUUCUGGACAUCCAUGAAUACCCCAUGUAAAAUUUACAAGAGGAUCCGAUAUCAAAAACAUUUUAAAAACUAUUUACUACUCAGCAAACUCGAAACUGUUUUCACAUAAUCUAAACCAAACAGAACGGGUUCCGUAAUUUUUAUAAAAUAAAAUACUAACCAGAAAAUUAUAAAAUUAAAACUGGGAAUCCUAGACACAUAUAUUAACCUACAUAUAAACUUUCAGAAUUUUCCGAGUUCAUUUGAUGGUACAAAUAGUCUUGUGAAUCCGAUCGCAAUGCUGGAAUCGCAGUUUUCCAGUGCGGUGGUUUCUGUUUCGAAAAUACAUAUAAAAUUCAAAACGAAAUCGAAUUCAAUGAAAUAAAAUUUAAUCAAGAAUCCCUACAUGUCUAGUUCCCAGAAAUAUAAAUUUUAUAAGAAAAUUCGUUCAGAAAAUAUAGCUUUAAAUUCGAGAUACUCAUGCUGUCCAGAAUUAUCCUGUGCUUAAUACGUCAAUGAUUGAUUAACUAAACUCAUAAUAAAUCAAAACCCUAAACAAGGCCUAAAUAUAUUAUAAACCAUGCAUUAUGAUCUACAACCAUUAGAAUCGUGCCAAUAUAAACCCUAGCUAGAUAGAGAUUAGAAAUAUGUUGAGAACAUGGAGAAUAACUUACCCGUCGCUUGAUUCUCUCCUAAACAAAGGUUUGAAUCCUAGGAUUUGGGUAAGAGCGUAAAGAGCAGCAGGGAAGAAGAAUAAACGUUGUGAAUUUAGGGUUAUGGGAGAGAAAAAGUAUGAAUUUAUAGGAAGUCUUAAGAAAC
RNAcentral lists this long non-coding RNA (1893 nucleotides) under Citrus maxima (pomelo). RNAcentral's name for it is "long non-coding RNA (CMAX_LNC001457)". The record is from RNAcentral. Lineage: Eukaryota; Viridiplantae; Streptophyta; Magnoliopsida; Sapindales; Rutaceae.